UGGGGGAUAUUGCACAAUGGGCGAAAGCCUGAUGCAGCGACGCCGCGUGGGGGAUGAAGGCCUUCGGGUUGUAAACUUCUUUUGCUCUGAACAAGGCAUGCUAAUGGGUGUGUUGAGUGUAGGGGUUGAUUAGCGCCGGCUAACUACGUGCCAGCAGCCGCGGUAAUACGUAGGGCGCGAGCGUUGUCCGGAAUUAUUGGGCGUAAAGGGCUUGUAGGUGGCUGGUUGCGUCUGUCGUGAAAGCUCAUGGCUUAACUGUGGGUUUGCGGUGGGUACGAGCUGGCUUGAGUGCAGUAGGGGAGGCUGGAAUUCCUGGUGUAGCGGUGGAAUGCGCAGAUAUCAGGAGGAAUACCGGUGGCGAAGGCGGGUCUCUGGGCUGUUACUGACACUGAGGAGCGAAAGCAUGGGGAGCGAACAGG
This 419-nucleotide ribosomal RNA is filed under the name bacterium. RNAcentral describes it as "partial 16S ribosomal RNA". It matches the Rfam family "Bacterial small subunit ribosomal RNA", at positions 355 to 776 of the family's 1533-position model. The record is from RNAcentral.